Long non-coding RNA from Paramormyrops kingsleyae, 569 nucleotides. RefSeq lists it as uncharacterized. The record is from RefSeq and is a predicted model, not a curated record. Lineage: Eukaryota; Metazoa; Chordata; Actinopteri; Osteoglossiformes; Mormyridae.
GAAUUCCUCUAAACUAUAUAAUCAAUCAUUUGUUUCCACGAGCUACAUUGUUGCAUUAGGCUUUCACUGUCAAGUGGGCAAUAUUAUAUUUAUUUUGAUGAGACGAGUACAAGAAAGUCACGAUGUCAAGGCUCAAUUUAACAAUCGGCCCGGGGGCAACGAGGCCAACGAUAAUCUUUAGACCAGUGAAACAUCCGUCUUCCAGCUCAUCACAUUCAAAAGACCAAGGGUUGUGGAUCCGAAUCCCACCAUCGCCACUGCUGUCUACGAGUUUGCUACUAAAGGUUUAACCAGUGGUCCUUCUCCAUAUCCUGACAGCACAGCAGAUUUGAACUAAGCAUGGGUAUCAUGGGUAUAUAUUGGCUUAAAUCCAAGAAGGACAUCAGUCUCAUCACCUUUUUAACCAGUAAAUUUUUGGCUGUGUAAUAAUAAUUUACGAAACUCUUAAUUUGACUGACAGCAAAGAUAUAAUGUUUACUAAGCAACUAAAUACAAAUAUAGUUUACAUUUUCUCAAUACUGUUUAUUUCAUAUUAAGCUCCUGUACUUUUUUGUAAAAUAUUAUUACUU